AGUGUAAGAUUAGGCUCACAUGUGUUCAGCUCUGUGUCUGUGAAGAGUGACCAUUCAAAAACGGAUAUACCCAACUUCAGUGAGAAAACUCCAACAUCACCUACCAAAAGUGUAAGAUCAGACUCUCAUGUGUUCAGCUCUGUGUCUGUGAAGAGUGACUGUUCAAAAGAUUUUCAGCCACCAAACAUCAGUGAGGAAACACCAUCAUCACCUACCAAAAGUUAUAAAGGACAGAAGACCACAAUAAAUAUUGGAGCAGAAUUUACACGGUGGCAAACAUUAAAAGCACAGAAGGGAUUGAAGAGUGAUGUAGAACUGGCAACUUUUCUUCUCAACAGGUGUGGACACAAUAUACCACACUUUACCUUGCACUGUUAAAUUAACAACAUAAGCUACCAUGCCAUAAUUUGUAAUUAA
Cyprinus carpio (common carp) is the source of this 417-nucleotide long non-coding RNA. RefSeq lists it as uncharacterized. The transcript is spliced from 3 exons. The record is from RefSeq and is a predicted model, not a curated record. NCBI's taxonomy places the organism in Eukaryota, Metazoa, Chordata, Actinopteri, Cypriniformes, Cyprinidae.